AGAACGAACGCUGGCGGCAGGCUUAACACAUGCAAGUCGAGCGCCUCGCAAGAGGAGCGGCAGACGGGUGAGUAACGCGUGGGAAUCUACCGUACCCUACGGAAUAGCUCCGGGAAACUGGAAUUAAUACCGUAUACGCCCUAACGGGGAAAGAUUUAUCGGGGUAUGAUGAGCCCGCGUUGGAUUAGCUAGUUGGUGGGUAAAGCCUACCAAGGCGACGAUCCAUAGCUGGUCUGAGAGGAUGAUCAGCCACAUUGGGACUGAGACACGGCCCAAACUCCUACGGGAGCAGCAGUGGGGAAUAUUGGACAAUGGGCGCGAAGCCUGAUCCAGCCAUGCCGCGUGAGUGAUGAAGGCCCUAGGGUUGUAAAGCUCUUUCGACCGGUGAAGAUAAUGAACGGUAACCGAGAAGACGACCCGGACUAAC
Molecule: ribosomal RNA, 427 nt
Filed under: uncultured soil bacterium
Lineage: Bacteria
Description: bacterial SSU rRNA
Rfam family: Bacterial small subunit ribosomal RNA
Source: RNAcentral